RNAcentral lists this ribosomal RNA (253 nucleotides) under uncultured bacterium. RNAcentral's name for it is "partial 16S ribosomal RNA". It matches the Rfam family "Bacterial small subunit ribosomal RNA", at positions 524 to 776 of the family's 1533-position model. The record is from RNAcentral.
AACGUAGGUGGCAAGCGUUAUCCGGAUUUACUGGGCGUAAAGGGUGUGCAGGCGGGGUAGCAAGUGGGGUAUGAAAUCUCCAGGCUUAACCUGGAGGGGUUAUGCCAGACUGCUGCUCUAGAGGACGAGAGAGGGGGGUGGAAUUCCGGGUGUAGUGGUGAAAUGCGUAGAGAUCCGGAGGAACCCCAGAGGCGAAGGCGGCCCCCUGGCUCGUACCUGACGCUCAGCCACGAAAGCAUGGGGAGCGAACGGG